RNAcentral lists this small RNA (1143 nucleotides) under Human betaherpesvirus 5. RNAcentral describes it as "RNA5.0". Lineage: Duplodnaviria; Heunggongvirae; Peploviricota; Herviviricetes; Herpesvirales; Orthoherpesviridae. The record is from RNAcentral.
AACACCCACAAACAACGUCACGACGCAACGUGGUUAAACAGUACGUUUAUUAAAGUAACUGGGUGAACGACACCGGAGCGGACUGCAAAUCGCAACGCUACUUUCUCGAGUGCAGAUACUCUUCGAGACGGCUAAACAACGUGUCCAACUCGCUGAGACCUUUCCGCGUGCCGUUAUCCGAUUUCCUUUCCGCCUCCUGAGACAGCCGACUAAUCACGGACUUAUCUCCGCAACCUAACAGAGGCUGGGAGCCCGACAAAAGUAAAACAGCGUGCUAUGAACACGUUGUUACCUCUGCGCGGACAGCGCCGCCACAGAGACACUUACGCAUUGCCGCAUGUCUUUGUAGAUGGAUUCUAGCGUCGAGCGCAUACUAUGCAAUUCCGUCUUGAGUCCGGGAUAGACGUGGUCGCCUGCGGGGAACACGAUCUCCAGAUACCGCCUCAACAACCAGUCCAUGACGCUGCAUCCCCAACAGCCUUUGACCACCGUACCGUCGAGCCACACGGAGUAGUCGUCCUCACGUUGCUACAAGAGGAAAACUACGUCACCCGACACGCGGAAAAGAAAGACCGUCGCAAUAAACCGUACCUACGUGACCUACCAACGUAGGUUUUACUCGAUGAAAGGUGACGCGGAGAUCUUGCAAUCUGGUCGCGUAAUCCUCUGGACGACACUGCGGCUUUGUAUUCUUUAUCGUCGUCGUCGCCGACUUCGCUUCCUCGGAAGCGCCUAGAAAAAAGACGAUCAGGACCAGAGAGGAAGAGACCAUCACCGACAGCAUCGCCGCAGCAUGCCGCCCCAGUCCGCCGCCCAACUGCGCGUCCCAGGUACCACCCGUAGACUGUCAGCCUCGCGAGGAGACACCGCGGACCGGGGAAACGGAUAAGUUUACGAACAGAAAUCUCAAGAGAAAAACGCUGACCCGAUAAGUACUGUCACGGAGAUACGGUGGUUUUUAUUGAAUUUCCAGUGUAUCGAGCCACCGUGAUGCAGGUACGGUGGUUUUAUGUAAAGUGCCGCUAUCUAUAGGCGAUGUGUUCCCUGACGGUGUGUGUUUUUUUGGGGAUAGACAACGUGGUUCUUGUACGUGGUUUUUACCCUGCUCAAUAAAGUCACGUUUUCCUUACACGGUGUUGUGUC